This 498-nucleotide ribosomal RNA is filed under the name uncultured bacterium. RNAcentral's name for it is "bacterial SSU rRNA". It matches the Rfam family "Bacterial small subunit ribosomal RNA", at positions 29 to 516 of the family's 1533-position model. The record is from RNAcentral.
AGUGAACGCUGGCGGCAGGCCUAAUACAUGCAAGUCGAACGGCAGCACAGUGGAGCUUGCUCCAUGGGUGGCGAGUGGCGGACGGGUGAGGAAUACAUGGGAAUCUGCCCAGUCGUGGGGGAUAACGUAGGGAAACUUACGCUAAUACCGCAUGCGCCCUUCGGGGGAAAGCCGGGGACCGUAAGGCCUGGCGCGAUUGGAUGAGCCCAUGUUCGAUUAGCUAGUUGGCGGGGUAAAGGCCCACCAAGGCGACGAUCGAUAGCUGGUCUGAGAGGAUGAUCAGCCACACUGGAACUGAGACACGGUCCAGACUCCUACGGGAGGCAGCAGUAGGGAAUAUUGGACAAUGGGGGCAACCCUGAUCCAGCCAUGCCGCGUGAGUGAAGAAGGCCCUCGGGUUGUAAAGCUCUUUUGUCCGGAAAGAAAGCAUUCGGUUAAUACCCGGGUGUUCUGACGGUACCGGAAGAAUAAGCACCGGCUAACUUCGUGCCAGCAGCC